CGGCAACAGCUCAAAUUUGAAAUCUGGCUCUUCUAGGGUCCGAGUUGUAAUUUGUAGAGGAUGUUUCGAAUGCGGUCCAGUUUAAGUUCCUUGGAACAGGACGUCAUAGAGGGUGAGAAUCCCGUAUGUGACUGGGUGCCAAUUUCAUGUGAAACUCCUUCGAC
Molecule: ribosomal RNA, 164 nt
Filed under: Leotiaceae sp.
Lineage: Eukaryota; Fungi; Ascomycota; Leotiomycetes; Leotiales; Leotiaceae
Description: partial large subunit ribosomal RNA
Rfam family: Eukaryotic large subunit ribosomal RNA
Source: RNAcentral